GAAAUGCGAUAAGUAAUGUGAAUUGCAGAAUUCAGUGAAUCAUCGAAUCUUUGAACGCACCUUGCGCUCCUUGGUAUUCCUUGGAGCAUGCCUGUUUGAGUAUCAUGAAAUCUUCAAAGUAAAUCUUUUGUUAACUCAAUUGGUUUCUACUUUGGUAUUGGAGGUCUUUGCAGCUUCACACCUGCUCCUCUUUGUUCAUUAGCUGGAUCUCAGUGUUAUGCUUGGUUCCACUCGGGGUGAUAAGUUAUCUAUCGCUGAGGACACUGUAAAAGGUGGCCAAGGUAAAUGCAGAUGAACCGCUUCUAAUAGUCCAUUGACUUGGACAAUACUUUUAUGAUCUGAUCUCAAAUCAGGUAGGACUACCCGCUGAACUUAAGC
This 378-nucleotide unclassified non-coding RNA is filed under the name plant metagenome. RNAcentral describes it as "partial contains 5.8S ribosomal RNA, internal transcribed spacer 2, and large subunit ribosomal RNA". The stretch from base 1 to 105 matches the Rfam family "5.8S ribosomal RNA", at positions 50 to 154 of the family's 154-position model. The record is from RNAcentral.